RNAcentral lists this ribosomal RNA (251 nucleotides) under uncultured prokaryote. Its description in RNAcentral is "partial 16S rRNA". It matches the Rfam family "Bacterial small subunit ribosomal RNA", at positions 525 to 775 of the family's 1533-position model. The record is from RNAcentral.
ACGGAGGAUGCAAGCGUUGUCCGGAAUCAUUGGGCGUAAAGAGUUCGUAGGUGGCAUGUCAAGUCUGGUGUUAAAUACCGAAGCUCAACUUCGGAUCGGCGCUGGAAACUGACAAGCUGGAGCAUAGUAGAGGCAAGGGGAAUUCCCAGUGUAGCGGUGAAAUGCGUAGAUAUUGGGAGGAACACCAGUGGCGUAAGCGCCUUGCUGGGCUAUUGCUGACACUGAGGAACGAAAGCCAGGGGAGCGAAUGG